AGUAUAUUACCUUGAACAUGGUUUAUUAGGAAAGACAAGAGAACAUAUCUGAAUAUAGUUUUUCCUUAUAACCAAUGUUCAAAGUAAUGAAUU
Molecule: microRNA precursor, 93 nt
Filed under: Arabidopsis halleri
Lineage: Eukaryota; Viridiplantae; Streptophyta; Magnoliopsida; Brassicales; Brassicaceae
Source: RNAcentral